GCCAGGCAUGGUGACUCAUGCCUGUAAUCCCAGCACUUUGGGAGGCCGAGGUGGGUGGAUCACCUGAGGUCAGGAAUUCGAGGCCAGCCUGGCCAACAUGGUGAAACCCCAUCUCUA
Molecule: non-coding RNA, 117 nt
Filed under: Pan paniscus (pygmy chimpanzee)
Lineage: Eukaryota; Metazoa; Chordata; Mammalia; Primates; Hominidae
Also listed under: 1 other name
Source: Rfam by way of RNAcentral